AGAGCGAACGCUGGCGGCAGGCCUAACACAUGCAAGUCGAGCGCCCCGCAAGGGGAGCGGCAGACGGGAGAGUAACACGUGGGAACGUGCCCUUUGGUUCGGAACAACACAGGGAAACUUGUGCUAAUACCGGAUAAGCCCUUACGGGGAAAGAUUUAUCGCCAAAGGAUCGGCCCGCGUCUGAUUAGCUUGUUGGUGAGGUAACGGCUCACCAAGGCGACGAUCAGUAGCUGGUCUGAGAGGAUGAUCAGCCUCACUGGGACUGAGACACGGCCCAGACUCCUACGGGAGGCAGCAGUGGGGAAUAUGGACAAUGGGCGCAAGCCUGAUCCAGCCAUGCCGCGUGGGUGAUGAAGGCCCUAGGGUUGUAAAGCCCUUUCGGCGGGAAGAUAAUGACGGUACCCGCAGAAGAAGCCCGGCUAACUUCGUGCCAGCAGCCGC
This 441-nucleotide ribosomal RNA is filed under the name uncultured bacterium. RNAcentral describes it as "SSU rRNA". It matches the Rfam family "Bacterial small subunit ribosomal RNA", at positions 26 to 518 of the family's 1533-position model. The record is from RNAcentral.